RNAcentral lists this ribosomal RNA (508 nucleotides) under uncultured bacterium. RNAcentral's name for it is "bacterial SSU rRNA". It matches the Rfam family "Bacterial small subunit ribosomal RNA", at positions 791 to 1297 of the family's 1533-position model. The record is from RNAcentral.
UAGUCCACGCCGUAAACGAUGAGAACUAGAUGUCGGGGGAAUUUGUCCUUCGGUGUCGCAGCUAACGCGUUAAGUUCUCCGCCUGGGGAGUACGCCGGCAACGGUAAAACUCAAAGGAAUUGACGGGGACCCGCACAAGCGGUGGAGCAUGUGGUUUAAUUCGAUGCAACGCGAAGAACCUUACCUGCCCUUGACAUUGACAGAACCCUUUAGAGAUAGAGGGGUGCCUUCGGGCCUGGAAAACAGGUGCUGCAUGGCUGUCGUCAGCUCGUGUCGUGAGAUGUUGGGUUAAGUCCCGCAACGAGCGCAACCCUUGUCUUUAGUUGCCAUCAUUUAGUUGGGCACUCUAGAGAGACCGCCGGUGACAAACCGGAGGAAGGUGGGGACAACGUCAAGUCAUCAUGGCCCUUAUGGGGCAGGGGCUACACACGUGCUACAAUGGCCAGUACAGAGGGGUUGCCAAGCUGCAAAGUGGAGCCAAUCCCCCAAAGCUGGGUCGUAGUCCGGG